AUAGUUUUCUUUAAGUAAUUGAAGGACUGACAUGUGGGAGAGCGAUUAUAUUUGUUUUGCUUUACUUCUAACAUGAAAAUUAUAACGAAAAGAAGUUAUAGAAAGGCAGAUUUCAGCUGGGUGGGGUGACACAUGCCUGUAAUCUCUGAUGCUAGGGAGGCUAAGGCUGGUGGUCCAUUAGAACUUGGAAGUUCUGAGCUACAAUGUAUUCUCAACUGAUCAUGAGUUGCAGUAUUCUAAACUGAUAGGGCAUCCAAACUAAGUGUAACAUCAGUAGAGUGAACCACUGGGAGCAGGGGUUGGCUGCCAGGCUGUCUACAGAGGAGCUAAGUGGAUGGACUAUUUUGGAAAAGGAACCAGUCAAAUCUUCUGUACUAAUCAGCAAUGGAAGGAAUACUCAUGAGUAUUCUCACCACAUUCCCCUGAUGUGGUAUGGAGACAAGGAAGCAUUAUCCUUAUCAUGGAAAUGGAGAGGCACAGAAAUUGACUUGCUCUGAAUUACUAUUUAGCAGAAGAACUCUGAAAACAAAUCUAAUAAAAUCUUCACCCCCCCCCCCAAAAAAAAAAAAAACAAACAAAAAAACUGGUGAACUUGAAAGAA
Long non-coding RNA from Antechinus flavipes (yellow-footed antechinus), 601 nucleotides. RefSeq lists it as uncharacterized. Lineage: Eukaryota; Metazoa; Chordata; Mammalia; Dasyuromorphia; Dasyuridae. The record is from RefSeq and is a predicted model, not a curated record. The transcript is spliced from 2 exons.